This 557-nucleotide ribosomal RNA is filed under the name Escherichia coli. RNAcentral describes it as "bacterial LSU rRNA". It matches the Rfam family "Bacterial large subunit ribosomal RNA", at positions 312 to 875 of the family's 2925-position model. The record is from RNAcentral. Lineage: Bacteria; Pseudomonadati; Pseudomonadota; Gammaproteobacteria; Enterobacterales; Enterobacteriaceae.
CUGAAUCAGUGUGUGUGUUAGUGGAAGCGUCUGGAAAGGCGCGCGAUACAGGGUGACAGCCCCGUACACAAAAAUGCACAUGCUGUGAGCUCGAUGAGUAGGGCGGGACACGUGGUAUCCUGUCUGAAUAUGGGGGGACCAUCCUCCAAGGCUAAAUACUCCUGACUGACCGAUAGUGAACCAGUACCGUGAGGGAAAGGCGAAAAGAACCCCGGCGAGGGGAGUGAAAAAGAACCUGAAACCGUGUACGUACAAGCAGUGGGAGCCUCUUUAUGGGGUGACUGCGUACCUUUUGUAUAAUGGGUCAGCGACUUAUAUUCUGUAGCAAGGUUAACCGAAUAGGGGAGCCGAAGGGAAACCGAGUCUUAACUGGGCGUUAAGUUGCAGGGUAUAGACCCGAAACCCGGUGAUCUAGCCAUGGGCAGGUUGAAGGUUGGGUAACACUAACUGGAGGACCGAACCGACUAAUGUUGAAAAAUUAGCGGAUGACUUGUGGCUGGGGGUGAAAGGCCAAUCAAACCGGGAGAUAGCUGGUUCUCCCCGAAAGCUAUUUAGGU